GGGGAUGUACUGAUUCGACGGAUUUUUGGUUUUUAUCCUGGCAAGUCGAGGAAGGCUUGAAAGACCUCGUAAAAAGUUCAAGCAAAAAAUAAACGCCAACGAUAACUUGGCUCCUGCUUACGCCGUCGCCUAAUCAGCCUCUGGCUGAAGCAGGCAUCCACGCGGCUUUCUCCUAACAAGGCCGCAAUGGGUGUCAUAAUUUAUCCCGAUGUAACAUCGGGAGGUUAGGAUAAGAUAAUUUUUCCUGGUUGAGGGAAAUUAUCAAACAAAUUAUCAACCGUCCGUCACGUAAAGUCCCGCUCCGCGGGGCCACGUGAUAAACUUGUAACUCUAGGGAAAAACGAUAAAAAUCCGGACCCCGGGUCACACCCGGGCAUCUCCACCA
Molecule: transfer-messenger RNA, 385 nt
Filed under: Candidatus Cloacimonadota bacterium
Lineage: Bacteria; Pseudomonadati; Candidatus Cloacimonadota
Rfam family: transfer-messenger RNA
About the family: Bacterial tmRNA, also known as 10Sa RNA or SsrA, is named for its dual tRNA and mRNA-like properties. Its role is to liberate the mRNA from a stalled ribosome.
Source: RNAcentral